This is an RNA transcript of Ctenopharyngodon idella (grass carp), 9208 nucleotides long. It is a transcript of the gene named zinc finger protein OZF-like, with no coding region annotated. The record is from RefSeq and is a predicted model, not a curated record. Lineage: Eukaryota; Metazoa; Chordata; Actinopteri; Cypriniformes; Xenocyprididae. The transcript has 7 exons.
GAGGCGCUGUGAUAUUCUGUAGUCUACCGGUAAAACCACUGAAGAAAGAAGAAAGAAGAGAGCACUGACGAUGUUGAACAUGAAAGCGCAGAUGGAUGUGAUCUGCUGUAAAUCAGUAGGAACUGAUCUGUCCAUGCUGGAUAUUGAGGAUUUCAUCAGUGAAAUCUGUCAGCUGAAGAAAGAGGUGGCGUCACUGGAGGCAAAGCUGAGAGAAAGAGGAGACAAACCCAACAGAGAGGAUCUGGAGAAGGUUUCAGUGUGUGUGACUGACGGGACAGAAGCUCAGGAUUCAGUCUGGAGAUCCAGAGACACACAGGACUCAGAGCUCAGCCUCACUUUACUGUGUUAUACUGACGCUCAGGAUCAUGGAUCCGCUGAUCAAACCUCUGACUGUAACGCUGGAGAACAGCAGAUGCUGCAGACGCCGCUGAAGAUGUGCUCCGUCAAACUGGUGGACUGCAGGAACCUGAUAGAGAGCAGAGGAGAAAAAACCACAGCAGAGGAACAACAACAGAGACAUGAGGAUGGGGAGGAUGAACGGAAUGAUGAUGAAGAUGGGAAUGAUGAUGAGAAUGAUGGGACAGAAGCUCAGGAUUCAGUCUGGAGAUCCAGAGACACACAGGACUCAGAGCUAAACCUCAGUUUUCUCUCUUAUACUGACGCUCAGGAUCAUGGAUCCGCUGAUCAAACCUCUGACUGUAACGCUGGAGAACAGCAGAUGCUGCAGACGCCGCUGAAGAUGUGCUCCGUCAAACUGGUGGACUGCAGGAACCUGAUAGAGAGCAGAGGAGAAAAAACCACAGCAGAGGAACAACAACAGAGCCAUAAGGAGGAAGAUGAUGAAGAUCAGAAUGAUGAUGAUCAGAUUAAGGAUGAGGAUGAAGAUCAAAAUGAUGUUGAUGAUGAUGAUGAUCAGAUUAAGGAUGAUGAUCAGAAUGAUGAUGUUGAUGAUGAUCAGAUUAAGGAUGAGGAUGAAGAUCAAAAUGAUGAUGAUGAGUUUGUUCUUUCAGAUGACAACGCUGGUUCAUCUUCUGAUGGAGAAACCGCCUCUACAUCCAAAGAGCGACGGACAAGGAAGAGUUUCUCCUGUAGAAAAACAUUCAGCAAACAGGAAAAUUUAGUGAGGCAUGAGAGAAAAAACACAGAACAGAAAGAGCACAAGAAGAAAACGUUUCGUUGUAGUCAGUGUGGGGAGAAUUUUAAUUCCUCUUCUAGUCUCAACCGUCAUAAGAAGACACACAAUAGCGGAAAACCUUUCCAAUGCAGUGAGUGCAACAAAUAUUUCCGCACCAAAGGAUAUCUUUCAUGUCAUAAGAGAUACCACAGGGAGAAAAAGCUGCACCAGUGCCCUCAUUGUGAGAAGAGCUUCAACAAGGGAUCCUAUCUGAAGAGCCAUCUACUCAUACACACCAAUGACGGGCCAUACCAGUGCCCUCACUGCGAGAAGUGCUUCAAUUUCGGAUCAGCUCUGAAGAACCAUCUGCUCAUGCAUACCAAUGAGAGGCCGUAUCAGUGCAGUGAAUGUGGGAACACCUUUAAGGACUCAGCUUCUCUGAAGUCACACCAAAAAAUACACUCUGAUUUCAAACCGUAUCAGUGUUCACACUGUGAGAAACGUUUCCAUCAUUCGACUCACCGGAAAACCCAUGAGAGGAUUCACACCGGAGAGAAACCGUACCUGUGCUCCUACUGCGGGAAGAGCUUUGCUAGUCCAUAUUCUUUCAAAGUUCAUCUGAGAGUUCACACUGGAGAAAGACCGUAUCACUGUAGUGAUUGUGGGAAGGGUUUUUAUAAGCUAAGUGACUUAAAAAUACAUCAGAGGACUCAUACAGGGGAAAAACCUUUUAAAUGCUCAAAUUGUGACAGGACAUUCACUCGAUCAAGUGACCUGAAGAUCCAUACGCGAUGGCACACAGGAGAGAAACCUUACCGCUGCUCCAUCUGCGGUGAGAGUUUCUCUUUUAAAUGGGCAUUUCAGAGUCACCAGAAGAAACAUGCUGAUCCAGAAUCAUCAUAGCUUCAUCAUGUAAUUAUUUUUAGGUUGUGUAAAAAAAAAAAAAAAAAAAAAAAAACACCCUUCAGUGUUACAGGAAUUAUAUUUUAUGGUUAUAAAAAAACCUGAAACUAGAUUGUGUCUAGAACAGGGGUGCUCCUGCAGAGUUUAGCUCCAACCAUGAUUAAACACACCUGAACCAGUGUAUCAAGAGCUUUGCGGCUAUAGAAUACCCAUAAUGCAUUGUGAGGGUCGCACUGAAACAAUUGCUGUGUCUAUCCAGAAGAUGGCGCCCGCCUAUCCAUUUUCCAAACCACUGCUCCAAUGUGGCUACACUGUAAUAUACAGGCAUAAAUUCCUUUGUAAUUGAUUAUUAAAUUGUUUAAUUAAGGUUCAUACAUAGUUUCCAUGACAUGAGUUCAAGAUAAAUUGUAUUGAUUACUACUGGAGCUGCCAGUUUGCUAAGUUUCAAAUGACUAGUAAACAGCAAGCUCAAACUAUGCAAAAGCAGAUGUGUCCAUUUUCAUUCACUCCUUUAAGUGAACUAUAUUAGUGGAGUAGUGUAGGUAAUAGGGAAUGAGGGUAUAGGGAGCAAUUUCAGACACAGCAAGAGUUUUCAUUCUCACUAGAAACUUCCAGGUAAGCGUGUUGGAGCUAAACUGUGCAGGACGUUGACCCUCCAGGAGCAGGAUUGGACACCCCUGCUCUAGAACAUCAUUUACUGUGUAGAAAUUAAUCCUCUGAAUGAAAAUCUGUAUUUCUUUGUGACAACUUUAAACUCACUGUAAUGUGCAGAUCUGCAUAUUGGAUUAAAGUGUGUUUAUGAGGUAUUUGAUCACACUGAUGGAAUGACAAGGCCUAAUUCUUUUAGCGGUUAUUUAAUACUUACUGAAAAACAUAAUGGCGUGAAAUGAGGCUUCUUUCCCUCAGUCACUUUGAUACACAAAACUGAAAUGAUCCAGACAUGGAUAUGUUCUAAGGUCACACCGUCAGUUUUUGGGAUCGACAAUUGCAUUUGCUUACAGGUGUGAAUCUACUUUCAUGUGUGAGUCUAAUCAGCUUACAGUAGCGCCUCAAAUGCUGUCUGUACGAACAAGCAAUGGGAGUCAAGUCCGUAUUUAUUUACAAGUAACCAUAUAGCGACAGUGACAAAAGUAAUAUCUCAGCAUACAAUAAUGCAGUGUAAUGCAAUAAAAAAAUGCAAGUUUAACAUGUUAACACUCUCCAUUUGUCUCAGGGAGCGUGUGCGUUAGUGGCCGGCCUACUUCACUUCUCCAUGUCUGUGUUCUGCUGGAGGGGACUUGGGUAAAGUUGUUUUUAUAUUCGCACAUUCGGAAUUCCGCGUUUAAGAACGUUCUAAUAAUGUGCAAUAAAGUUAAUGUUUGCAAAUUCUGAACAACGACAUUUACCAACGAUUGUAACCCUACAACAUUUUUCACAAUCGAUCAAAAUGGGCAAGUAUUACUUUAAUGGCAUACUUACUUGCGAACGUCCACUGAAUGUCCAUUGUAGUGUACAAAGUUAUUGUAGCCUAUGCGGAAGUCCGAAUGUGCGAAUAUAAAACCAAAUUUACCCAAGUCUGGAGGGGGUGCAGUAAAAACAGCAAUUAUUAUGAAAUAUUAUUCCAAUUUAAAUUAAGUUUUCUAAUUGAAUCAAUAUUCAAAUGUAUUUUUUUUCAGCGAGUCAAAGCUGUAUUCUGAUUGGCUCUUCAGUCUCACAUGACCCAGAAAUCAUAUGCUGCUGAUUUGCUGCUCAAGAAAUCAUUCUUAUUAAUAUCGCAGUUGAAAAUGCUUGUGCUUCUUAAUUAGUGGGUUUUUUUUAUUUUUUAUUUAUAUUCACAGAUCAACAGAAAGAGUGAAGAAGUAUUUAUUUCAAAUAGAUUCUGGACCAUGUAUCUUUAUGCGCGCCUCUGCACGCGCUUUCUCCUGUCUUUCAUAGAAACCCGCGAAAUCGCGUAGUUCAAAAAUUAACGGUCAUUUUGAUUUACCGGCUGACUGACUGACAUUCGUUUAUCAAUCGUCCUUAUGAUUACGUAAAGAUAUGAUAUCCAUCUUUUAUUGGCAACGCCACUGAAAUAAAAUGGUAUAAUAAGAGAAAUUAGGUUUAGUGAAGCCUACUCCACGUACUGUAGAAGGCGCUGUGACGUUAGUUAGUCCCCCGGUAGAACCACUGAAGAAAGACGAAAUAUUAGCAUAUUGCCCGCCCACUUACUGCGCGUGCAGACACCAGGGAAAACUUGAAUUCCCUCAAACGCUGCAGCUGAUUCCUGUGGAUACGGAUAGCAUCAUGUCGAGAAGACGCUGUGCUCUACGGUGUGAUAGUAAAGCCACGUUUUUUUCACUGCCCAAGGACGAGCAUGUGAAGAAUCAGUGGUUAAAGUUAAUCUUUACAGCGAUACCACAAAAGUAUAGCCCGAACCUUGUGCUGUGUUCCCGUCAUUUUACUGACGACUGCUUCCUCAACUUAAAUGCGUUCAACGAGGGAUUCGCAAGCCGGUUGUUAUUGAAGGAUGGGUCAGUACCCAGUUUAUGUGGACCAGCUUCUUCCUCCUCCGAAUCACAACCUAUGUUGACCAUGAAUGCCCACAUGGAUGUGAUCUGCUGUAAAUCAGUAGGAACUGAUCUGUCCAUGCUGGAUAUUGAGGAUUUCAUCAGUGAAAUCUGUCAGCUGAAGAAAGAGGUGGCGUCACUGGAGGCAAAGCUGAGAGAAAGAGGAGACAAACCCAACAGAGAGGAUCUGGAGAAGGUUUCAGUGUGUGUGACUGACGGGACAGAAGCUCAGGAUUCAGUCUGGAGAUCCAGAGACACACAGGACUCAGAGCUCAGCCUCACUUUACUGUGUUAUACUGACGCUCAGGAUCAUGGAUCCGCUGAUCAAACCUCUGACUGUAACGCUGGAGAACAGCAGAUGCUGCAGACGCCGCUGAAGAUGUGCUCCGUCAAACUGGUGGACUGCAGGAACCUGAUAGAGAGCAGAGGAGAAAAAACCACAGCAGAGGAACAACAACAGAGACAUGAGGAGGAGGAGGAUGAUGAUCAGAUUAAGCAUGAGGAUGAAGAUCAGAAUGAUGAUGUUGAUGAUGAUGACUUUAUUCCUUCAGAUAACAACACUGGUUCAUCUUCUGAUGGAGAAACUGCCUCUACAUCCAAAGAGCGACAGACAGUGACAGACUGUGGAAAAACAUUCAGCAAGCAGGAAAAUUUAGCGAGACGUGAGAGAAAACACUCAGAACAGAUAGACUUCACCUGCAAGAUAUGCGACCUCAGCUUUCCUACUUAUGUAGAGAGGAAACUUCAUUCAAAAGAGCACACCGUGAAGAAGGAGUUUCGCUGUGAACAGUGUGGGAAGGAUUUUUUCACCACUCCUUAUAGUAUGAGAGCUCAUAUAAACACACACAGUGAAAAGACUUUACAAUGCAACGUGUGUAACAAAUAUUUCCGCACCAACCAACAUCUUUCAAUGCAUAAGAGAAUCCACACGGGUGAAAAGCCGUACCAGUGCCCUCACUGCGAGAAGAGCUUCAACCAGAGACCCCAUCUGAAGAACCAUCUACUCAUGCACACCAAUGAGAGGUCACACCAGUGCCCUUACUGCGACAAGAGUUUCAACCAGGGAUCCAAACUGAACAACCAUCUACUCAUACACACUAAUGAGAGGCCGUACCAGUGCCCUCACUGUGAGAAGAGCUUCAAUCUUGGAUCAGCUCUGAAGAAACAUCUACUCGUACACUCAAAUGAGAGGCCGUAUCAGUGCAGUGAAUGUGGAAAAAACUUUACAAACUCAGCUUCUCUGAAGUUACACCAAAAAAUACAUUCUGAUUUCAAACCGUAUCAGUGUUCACACUGUGAGAAACGUUUCUAUCAUUCGACUCACCGGAAAACCCAUGAGAGGAUUCACACCGGAGAGAAACCGUACCUGUGCUCAUACUGCGGGAAGAGCUUUGCUAGUCCAUUUUAUUUCAAAGUUCAUCAGAGAGUUCACACUGGAGAAAAACCGUAUCGCUGUAGUGAUUGUGGGAAGGGUUUUACUAAUGCAAGUGGCUUACAAAUACAUCAGAGGACUCAUACAGGAGAAAAACCUUUUAAAUGCUCAGAUUGUGACAGGACAUUCACUCGAUCAAGUGACCUGAAGAUCCAUACGCGAUGGCAUACAGGAGAGAAACCUUACCGCUGCUCCUUUUGCGGCGAGAGAUUCUCUUUUAAAUGGGGAUUUCAGAGUCACCAGAAGAAACACACUGACCCAGAAUCAUCAUAGCUUCAUCAAUUCAUUAAGUUGUGUAAAAAAAACACUUUGCAAUGUUAUUUUAUGUAUGUAACAAAAAAAAAAAAAAAAAAAAAAAAAAAACCUAAAACUAGAAUGUCUGUAGAACAUUAUUUACUGGGUAGAAAUUAAUCCUCUGGAUGAAAGAUUCACUGUAAUGUACAAAAAUUAUUCUCGUUUCUUCAUAACAUUAACAUUAAUGUCUCUCAGCAUGCGAUCGCGAACUCAGUUCUCUUUUACGUCUUAUUGGGCUUGAAUGUUCGACAACGCAUGCGUUCAUUUACCAGUUAUGUCUCAAGUGAAAGCUAGCAGUUAGGUGUAAACCAUAUAUGUAUCAGUAUAACGGAUCUGUGUGUUUGGCCUAAAGCCUGGAACACACCAAGCUGGCGGUCGGCCGUCAGGCAGGUUUUGUUCGUCGGCCGACUAAGUUUUCUCAGUGUGUUCCACACCGUCAGCUGAAGUUGGUCCUCGUCGGCUUUUUUUCGGCCUGAUUCGACAUGUUGAAUCGGCGUCGGCGCUCGUCUGUCAGUCGGGCCAUCUGAUCAUUCUGAUUGGCUGUUCGGCUACUGCCACCUGCUGGUACGUAAAGGCAUUUCUUCUUACGCAGGCACAGAACAGACGUGCUACUUGGCCGUCAGGUGACAAGCGUUGGUUUGGUGUGUCAGGGCGACUUUGGACCCAGACGCUGCCGACAUGAGCAAAUCCCGCAGUCUGCUUUCGUCGCCACUAGUUCGUCGGCGUCGGCUUGGUGUGAUCCGGGCUUUAAAGUGACAGCAGCCUAAUAUACCUACCUGCUGUUCUUUGUCAUUAAUGUGAAUCAAAGGAUAGGAAGGUGAAUGUCCUUGAGUGACCAAGCCCUGACUUAAAUCCGAUAGAAAAUCUGUGGAUGGACUUGAAGAGAGCAGUAUUUAAUCAGGGGACUGAUGACUUUUCCAACCCUGUUAUUCUAGUUUUUUCAUUUUUAAUAAUCCUCCAGAAUGUUUUUAAGUUAGACUUAAUUUAUUUUAUUUUCCUUGGUGUAAUGUGACAAAAGGUAAAGAUUUUCACAUGGUAUGAUGACUUCCUGUAGGCACUGUAUAUCGUUAUUGUGAAAUAAAAUCUCAUAUUGUGAUGUAGGAAUUUGGUCAUGUUGCCCACCCCUAAUUAUCAAUGUAGAAAAUGCUUGAGCUGCUUAAUGAAGUUUGGAAACAGACAUGCAAUGUUUUUUCAGGAUUUUGAACAGCAUUUAUUUAUAUUUAAUAUAUUGCCAUCAAGUCUGGUCAUGAAAACGUAGUUGACAUCGAUAUAUUCUACACUGAAAACAUAUCAAAUGUCUAGUAAAAUCACUCUAAGUAUGGUAAAAAGGUUCAAUCGGAUCAAGUACAGUAGAUUAUUACAUCAUUAGAGUGUGUAGCGCUGAAACCCUAUUGUAAUUGUUAAAAUUUCCAAGGAUCAGCAUUCUCUCCUAAAAGUGAUCGGGCAGAUCAAACCGUUAGUCAUAGAGACUUGAAACUUUGAGGGCUGGUAGUACUCACACCGUCUACAACAUCACCAAGGCUCGCCCCAUUCAGCUUUACAGGGGCGCUACAGCAGCCAAAAGUAUGAAAUGGCUCAUAACUCCUAAACCCACAAGUGUCUUGUGUCGUUGGAAUCUUGCUCAUCUGGGUAAAUUUUGGGGGAUUUUGUAUUUUUGGAAAACCCUACUUUUGCAAAGUAGUCCUAGGUUUUUGACCUGAUUGGAACUAAACCAGUGCAGCGAGAUUCUCUGGAGUCUGAUUGUCAAUAAUUAUCAGAAAAAUAAGCUGAAAUUUCGAUUUGAAACGUUUGAAGUGGGGGGAGUCACUUUUACUAAAAUGGACUGAAUGAGAUAUUUUCACCAAAAUCAGCACACCUAUGUAAGAGCUCAUUCUGUGGUUGUGUGAAAAAGGACACGGUGACUGGCCACUUGGUGGCGCUAUAACAGGAAAAAACAUGAAAAUGGCUAUAACUACUUCAUCGUUUGUCCAAUCAACUUGAAAAUUGGCACGUAGUGUCUAUGUCCAAGGUGCCAUGUUUGUCUAGGAGGACAUUGAAGUAUCUAAAAAAAUAACAUGUCCGCCAUUGGCCAAUGAAGAUUGAGCAGCUAUCAGAAAAUGUCAACGGAGGCUGAUCGGAAUGAAACCCGCUGGGCCUGUUUUAUUCACGGCCCUACAGGUCUGUGAGAAAUUUGAAAGAAAUCAGGCACCGGGGGGCACCUUUGCAUUUUUGUAUUGUUUAUCGCAUGACUUUUCCAUAUGCCCACAACAUUCAUACCACAUGGUAGAACUCCUCAUUCUGAGCAACUUUGCCUCUAGGACCGCCUCUGUACAUUGACUUGUUCGUUAAAUACUGGAGGUUAUUUCAAAAACCAACUUUGGCGAACUAGUCCUAGGUUUUUAGCUCAACCUCAAUAAAUCUCCUAUGGUAAAUUGCCUGUAUUGACUGUAAGUUGUCUUUCCAUCUGUGAUCGAGAUGGUUACAGGCUUGCUAAUUAAAACAUUACGCAUGUGCUUAAAGGCCUUAAAGUGCUUGAACCCUAAUACUUGCUGCUCGCAGCUGUAUUUUUUUAUUUUUUUUUUUAAAUAUUAUACACUGCCAGUCUUAGUUUUUUUUUGUAAUGAAUUUAUUGUGGAAAUCCACCGGAAAAUAUUUAUUUUUUCAGUAAAUAACUCCCCGUUAGCAGACAAAACAGUGUAAACACACAGUCCUCUGAUGGUGACCUUCAUUAUGUUUAUUUGACUUGAGUGCCAAAGUUAAAGCAUCUUUUCUACUGUGUCAUUUCAGAAAUAUUCAAAAUAGCAGAAUACAUACAGACAAAACUGGUGUUCUGAACACCAUAGCAAAACAUCACGUUUGUUUCGUCUUUGAGCUUCAUCGACUUGUAGGUCUGAAGUCUUUCAUGUCCUCAUAAUUAAUGGGCAGAUUUUUACAAUCAGCAGGAUGGUCUGUAAUUAAGCU